Molecule: long non-coding RNA, 1961 nt
Organism: Papaver somniferum (opium poppy)
Lineage: Eukaryota; Viridiplantae; Streptophyta; Magnoliopsida; Ranunculales; Papaveraceae
Exons: 5
Source: RefSeq, a predicted model, not a curated record
UCGUUGUUCCUUUGUUUUCUCCCCCUUUCAAAACCGCCGCCGCCACCAUCACAGAUGAUGCAGUCAGAUGUCCAUGAUCAUCAUCAACAACAAGAUAUUAGUAUGAUGAUAUCUCCUCUCAGGCAUGAGUCAGUUUUCAGAUGCUCUCUCCAUUCAAUUUUUCUUGAUCUCUUCUUCUCCUGUCUUUGAAUUCUGACUCUCCUUUUGUGUAUCCUCUUUAAUUUUACGUUUCUCUCUAUCAUCGUUCUGUUUGCGUCUUUCUCUGGUAAUUUCCGUUCUUUUAAAGUGAUCUAGUGACUCGUUUCUCCCGAUUCAAUUGAUUCGUUGACUCGUUUUUAGUGGUUCAGCCGUAACUUUUCCCUCAGUUCUCUGUUCAUUUGCAGGGUGUUUGGUAUCCAAAUGUAUUAUUGCGACUUCAUCUCAAAAACAAAGGAAGGAUCAUAGUGAGGUUAUCAAGAGUAGCCGAGUAGAGAGAAGGGCACAGGUGAAAGAUCCAAUGCAAUUUGUGAAGGACCUCCACAAAGGAGAGGAGCUUUAAGUUCUCCAUUUGACGGAGACAGCACAGCAAUCUGGUUGAUUAUUUUGGCUAUCGAGCUACUCCCCCAGCUGAGAAUGGACAUUCCCCCGCCUAGAGCGGUGAAAUAAUCCUUAACAAGACGCUUCUAACUUUCCCGUUUAGCUGAAUUCUAGCACUUAAUGGUGUUACGACAAAAUAUGGAUUCUCCUAGCCUCAUUAAGUUGAAGUACUGAUGAGCUCUCCUGUGUAGCUACUGAGUUGUCUCUCCAUCUCAUGAUGAACAAGGCUGGACAGAAGCAUGGCAAGGUCUCUUUUGUAAGCAUAAAAACAAUUGUUAAUUCUCCCUCAUGGUGGCCUAUACGAUAUCAUGGGAUGUAAACUUUAUGGUGUAUCUAUUCAAUGAAAUUGCAGUCCCAAGCACUGCAGAUGGAAUUACUCAUGAAGUCCUGCUUUAGAGUGAAAAAAAAAGUCCUGCUUUAGAGUGAAAGAGCGAGAAAUUACUCAUGUGAGCUUAGAAAUUAUAUUGUUUUCGAUGCUUCUACGGUCAUGCCAGAGUUUUCUUUGUUCUUUUUACGCUUAGAAAUUCAAAUCUCUCACUUUCAAAAUCUUUAGUCAUUAAAUGUCUUACAAAUGCUACCAGGGGCGGUUUCCUAACUGAACUCAUUUUGAUGCAAUUGACAAGCUUCUGGAAGUGGUUCUUCUCAACCACACGUUUUGAUGCAAUUUGAAACCACACGUUUCUGACCAGUUGGGAGCGCGUUUUUUGCCUGUUAAGAUCGCGUUCCUCGUACGAAUUUCAUUUGAGAACGCAAAAUCGCGAAUUUUGGGGAGAUUCUUGGUGACCUUUCACGUUUCUGGUGAACUUCAUACCCAUUUUCCUUUUUUGAUUCACAGUAUGUUUUGAGGGACACUCCGAAGAAUACGAGUGUCAAGGAGAAACCAAAUUAUAUCCUACUGCCAAGGGCAAGACAACCAGCAUCGUUCACACAGGUCAACUUCUGUAGCUGCUGCAACUGGCCUAGAAACAGUUGAAAACGAAAAUGGCUUCAGGAAGUGGUUCUCAACCACUGAUUGUAACUUCUCCACUGAAAACUUCGCCCGGCACAUCCAAUUUCAAACAGAACCAGCAACAUGAGGCAAGCAGGAAAAUAAUUAGAACCAUGCUGUCAUCUUCCUCUCACUGUUGCUGCCUGACUCUGUGCAAGGGAUAACAAUCACUCAACAUGUACCUGUUCAUGGAAUUACCAAUCCUGGGGAUGAUGCAGUGGACAUUGGGUUCAGUAACAAGCUUAGUAGCAAACCUCGAAGCGCGGAGGCAGCAGUUAACAAUUUUUGGGGUGUUAAUUCAUCAUCUGCCAAUGCUGAAAUUAUUUGCGAACCAGACUUUUAUUGGUGAAAUUUUUUUUAUUAGUGAAUUUAAGAAGAGAGCCCAGUUUCUGGAUCA